This 253-nucleotide ribosomal RNA is filed under the name uncultured bacterium. RNAcentral's name for it is "partial 16S ribosomal RNA". It matches the Rfam family "Archaeal small subunit ribosomal RNA", at positions 474 to 727 of the family's 1478-position model. The record is from RNAcentral.
UACCAGCACCCCGAGUUGUCGGGACGAUUAUUGGGCCUAAAGCAUCCGUAGCCGGCCUUACAAGUCCCCCGUUAAAUCCGACUGCUUAACAGAUGGGCUGCGGAGGAUACUAUAAGACUAGGAGGCAGGAGAGGCAAGCGGUACUCAGUGGGUAGGGGUAAAAUCCGUUGAUCCAUUGAAGACCACCAGUGGCGAAGGCGGCUUGCCAGAACGCGCUCGACGGUGAGGGAUGAAAGCUGGGGGAGCAAACCGG